GCAAUUUGAAGAAUAUUGGUCAAUGGCCUAACGGCUGAACCAGCAACUUGCAGGAAUGAGAGUUAAUAUAAUAAGUUUAUUAACUUGCUUGACUAGGUCUUAUAAAGUUCUGGAUAAAGCUUAUUAUGAAAACUUUAUAUCCAUAGGUCUCGACCAAAUCUUGUGCCAGCAGUCGCGGUAAGACAAGGGAGACGAGUGUUAUUCAUCUUUAACAGGUAUAUAGGGUACCUAGACGGUGUGCAAUGGCUUAAAUAAGUACCUGGUACACUUGAGUUUGAUAUGUGAGAGGAAUAUGUCGGAAUUGUUGGAGGAAAGAUGAAAUUUGUUAAUACCAAUAGGACUGAUAACGGCGAAGGCAAACCUCUAUGUACAUGUACUUGCUAUCUCUCUAUUAGAGAGGAACAGAAAUUUCUCUUAUAAAAAAUCUUAUAUAAAAAAAGAGGAAAACAGCAAUGUGCUAUAACUGACGUUGAGGGACGAAGGCUCAGAGAGUGAAGAGGAUUAGAUACCCCCGUAACCUGGGCAGACAAUGAUGAGUGCCAUAGGUUGGCUUUAAGGCGGAACUAUAAAUGAAAGUGGAAGCACUCCACCUCAAGAGUAAUGUGGCAACGCAGGAACUGAAAUCAUUAGACCGUUUCUGAAACCAGUAGUGAAGUAUGUUAUUUAAUUCAUUGAAAUU
RNAcentral lists this ribosomal RNA (679 nucleotides) under Bipolaris sorokiniana. RNAcentral's name for it is "SSU rRNA". It matches the Rfam family "Bacterial small subunit ribosomal RNA", at positions 348 to 961 of the family's 1533-position model. The record is from RNAcentral. Lineage: Eukaryota; Fungi; Ascomycota; Dothideomycetes; Pleosporales; Pleosporaceae.